Molecule: ribosomal RNA, 595 nt
Filed under: uncultured Amycolatopsis sp.
Lineage: Bacteria; Bacillati; Actinomycetota; Actinomycetes; Pseudonocardiales; Pseudonocardiaceae
Description: bacterial SSU rRNA
Rfam family: Bacterial small subunit ribosomal RNA
Source: RNAcentral
UGGGGAAUAUUGCACAAUGGGCGCAAGCCUGAUGCAGCGACGCCGCGUGAGGGAUGACGGCCUUCGGGUUGUAAACCUCUUUCGCCAGGGACGAAGCCUUUCGGGGUGACGGUACCUGGAUAAGAAGCACCGGCUAACUACGUGCCAGCAGCCGCGGUAAUACGUAGGGUGCGAGCGUUGUCCGGAAUUAUUGGGCGUAAAGAGCUCGUAGGCGGUUUGUCACGUCGGCCGUGAAAACUGGAGGCUUAACCUCCAGCUUGCGGUCGAUACGGGCAGACUUGAGUUCGGUAGGGGAGACUGGAAUUCCUGGUGUAGCGGUGGAAUGCGCAGAUAUCAGGAGGAACACCGGUGGCGAAGGCGGGUCUCUGGGCCGAUACUGACGCUGAGGAGCGAAAGCGUGGGGAGCGAACAGGAUUAGAUACCCUGGUAGUCCACGCUGUAAACGUUGGGCGCUAGGUGUGGGCGACUUCCACGUUGUCCGUGCCGUAGCUAACGCAUUAAGCGCCCCGCCUGGGGAGUACGGCCGCAAGGCUAAAACUCGAAGGAAUUGACGGGGGCCCGCACAAGCGGCGGAGCAUGUGGUUUAAUUCGAUGC